Molecule: ribosomal RNA, 497 nt
Filed under: uncultured bacterium
Lineage: Bacteria
Description: partial 16S ribosomal RNA
Rfam family: Bacterial small subunit ribosomal RNA
Source: RNAcentral
GAUGAACGCUGGCGGCGUGCCUAAUACAUGCAAGUCGAGCGAACAGAUGAGGAGCUUGCUCCUCUGACGUUAGCGGCGGACGGGUGAGUAACACGUGGAUAACCUACCUAUAGGACUGGGAUAACUUCGGGAAACCGGAGCUAAUACCGGAUAAUAUAUUGAACCGCAUGGUUCAAUAGUGAAAGACGGUUUUGCUGUCACUUAUAGAUGGAUCCGCGCCGCAUUAGCUAGUUGGUAAGGUAACGGCUUACCAAGGCGACGAUGCGUAGCCGACCUGAGAGGGUGAUCGGCCACACUGGAACUGAGACACGGUCCAGACUCCUACGGGAGGCAGCAGUAGGGAAUCUUCCGCAAUGGGCGAAAGCCUGACGGAGCAACGCCGCGUGAGUGAUGAAGGUCUUCGGAUCGUAAAACUCUGUUAUUAGGGAAGAACAAAUGUGUAAGUAACUAUGCACGUCUUGACGGUACCUAAUCAGAAAGCCACGGCUAACUACGUG